Molecule: ribosomal RNA, 671 nt
Filed under: uncultured archaeon
Lineage: Archaea
Description: bacterial SSU rRNA
Rfam family: Archaeal small subunit ribosomal RNA
Source: RNAcentral
UUCUGGUUGAUCCCGCCAGAGGUUACUGCUAUUGGUGUUCGACUAAGCCAUGCAAGUCAUAUGUUCCUCGUGAACAUGGCAUACUGCUCAGUAACACGUGGAUAACCUGCCCUUGGGUCUGGGAUAACCCCGGGAAACUGGGGAUAAUACUGGAUAACGCAUAUGUGCUGGAAUGCUUUAUGCGUAAAACGGAUUCGUCCGCCCAAGGAUGGGUCUGCGGCCUAUCAGGUAGUAGUGGGUGUAAUGUACCUACUAGCCAACAACGGGUACGGGUUGUGAGAGCAAGAGCCCGGAGAUGGAUUCUGAGACAUGAAUCCAGGCCCUACGGGGCGCAGCAGGCGCGAAAACUUUACAAUGCGGGAAACCGUGAUAAGGGAACACCGAGUGCCAGCAUCAUAUGCUGGCUGUCCAGAUGUGUAAACUACAUCUGUUAGCAAGGGCCGGGCAAGACCGGUGCCAGCCGCCGCGGUAACACCGGCGGCCCGAGUGGUGACCGUUAUUAUUGGGUCUAAAGGGUCCGUAGCCGGUUUGGUCAGUCCUCCGGGAAAUCUGAUAGCUUAACUGUUAGGCUUUCGGGGGAUACUGCCAGGCUUGGAACCGGGAGAGGUAAGAGGUACUACAGGGGUAGGAGUGAAAUCUUGUAAUCCCUGUGAGACCACCUGUGGCGAAAG